CCAGUUGGCCGGGCAGCCGCGCCUUGCAAGUGCCGAAAGGCCGCAGGGGGAGGAAAGUCCGGGCUCCACGGAAACACGGUGCCGGAUAACGUCCGGCGGGGGCGACCCCAGGGAAAGUGCCACAGAAAGCAAACCGCCUUCCUCGGAAGGUAAGGGUGAAAGGGUGGGGUAAGAGCCCACCGCGGCCAUGGCGACAUGGACGGCAAGGUAAACCCCACCGGGAGCAAAACCGAAUAGGGAUGACGCGAAGCGCGCAAGCGCUUCAGCCUGUUUCCGGGCCGGUCAUCCGGGUGGGUUGCAAGAGGCCGGGCGCAAGUCCGGUCCCAGAUGAAUGGCUGCCACGUUCCGGCGAAAGCCGGAGCCAUACAGAACCCGGCUUACAGGCCAACUGGCAAA
Molecule: non-coding RNA, 396 nt
Organism: Shinella sp. DD12
Lineage: Bacteria; Pseudomonadati; Pseudomonadota; Alphaproteobacteria; Hyphomicrobiales; Rhizobiaceae
Source: Rfam